This 253-nucleotide ribosomal RNA is filed under the name uncultured bacterium. RNAcentral describes it as "partial 16S ribosomal RNA". It matches the Rfam family "Bacterial small subunit ribosomal RNA", at positions 524 to 776 of the family's 1533-position model. The record is from RNAcentral.
UACGUAGGUGGCAAGCGUUGUCCGGAUUUAUUGGGUUUAAAGGGUGCGUAGGCGGUUCCUUAAGUCAGUGGUGAAAUACUUCAGCUCAACUGGAGAGGUGCCAUUGAUACUGGGGAACUUGAGUACUGAUGAGGUAGGCGGAAUGGACGGUGUAGCGGUGAAAUGCUUAGAUAUUCGGAAGAACACCAGUGGCGAAGGCGGCUCACUGGACUGGUAUUGACGCUGAGGUGCGAAAGCGUGGGGAGCAAACAGG